This 429-nucleotide ribosomal RNA is filed under the name Chloroflexota bacterium. Its description in RNAcentral is "Chloroflexi bacterium partial 16S ribosomal RNA". It matches the Rfam family "Bacterial small subunit ribosomal RNA", at positions 355 to 776 of the family's 1533-position model. Lineage: Bacteria; Bacillati; Chloroflexota. The record is from RNAcentral.
UGGGGAAUAUUGCACAAUGGGCGCAAGCCUGAUGCAGCCAUGCCGCGUGUAUGAAGAAGGCCUUCGGGUUGUAAAGUACUUUCAGCGGGGAGGAAGGGAGUAAAGUUAAUACCUUUGCUCAUUGACGUUACCCGCAGAAGAAGCACCGGCUAACUCCGUGCCAGCAGCCGCGGUAAUACGGAGGGUGCAAGCGUUAAUCGGAAUUACUGGGCGUAAAGCGCACGCAGGCGGUUUGUUAAGUCAGAUGUGAAAUCCUCGGGCUCAACCUGGGAACUGCAUCUGAUACUGGCAAGCUUGAGUCUCGUAGAGGGGGGUAGAAUUCCAGGUGUAGCGGUGAAAUGCGUAGAGAUCUGGAGGAAUACCGGUGGCGAAGGCGGCCCACUGGACAAAGACUGACGCUCAGGUGCGAAAGCGUGGGGAGCAAACAGG